Molecule: ribosomal RNA, 468 nt
Filed under: uncultured bacterium
Lineage: Bacteria
Description: partial 16S ribosomal RNA
Rfam family: Bacterial small subunit ribosomal RNA
Source: RNAcentral
GACGAACGCUGGCGGCGUGCUUAACACAUGCAAGUCGAACGGAAAGGCCCUGCUUUUGUGGGGUGCUCGAGUGGCGAACGGGUGAGUAACACGUGAGUAACCUGCCCUUGACUUUGGGAUAACUUCAGGAAACUGGGGCUAAUACCGGAUAGGAUCUCCUGCUGCAUGGUGGGGGUUGGAAAGUUUCGGCGGUUGGGGAUGGACUCGCGGCUUAUCAGCUUGUUGGUGGGGUAGUGGCUUACCAAGGCUUUGACGGGUAGCCGGCCUGAGAGGGUGACCGGCCACAUUGGGACUGAGAUACGGCCCAGACUCCUACGGGAGGCAGCAGUGGGGAAUAUGGCACAAUGGGCGGAAGCCUGAUGCAGCAACGCCGCGUGCGGGAUGACGGCCUUCGGGUUGUAAACCGCUUUCGCCUGUGACGAAGCGUGAGUGACGGUAAUGGGUAAAGAAGCACCGGCUAACUACGUG